UCAAAAGCUGUAAACAAACGAUGAACUUGUUUACUUUGAAGACACACACUGUUUCAGUGGCAGUGUAUCAACUUCGUAUUUCGCAUAUUACGGCCUGGGACUAACGUUAUAUUCAACAGCAAUGCGGAAAGUUCCGCUAAUUUAAGAUAUCAUUCAAAAACAUGGGCGCACAAAAGUAAACAAGCUGCGUUUGACAAGCUCGCGGUGUCUAACGUUACUGACACAACAUACUCGAGCAAACUAUGAUUAUGGUCUUUUAUAGCGGUAAACACAGACGAAUUCAAAAGCACAAUAAUAUUGCUGUGUCCUCGAGAGGUUAAUGGCAGAGCUAGGUUGUUUCUGCGGGUUUAGGUGAGCUAAGCUAACUGGCUAACCAGCGAAGUGUCACUAGUCUGAAUGUGAAUAAGCGCGCUAAGCUGCCUCGCGCGAGCUAGCAACUGACACGAACGUCAUGUUACAGACGCUUCCCGAAAUCACUCCCCGGAUCAAAAGUUCCCAAAUGGCGUAGCAUACUGUACAGGCUCAAGGCUGGUAGGCUGCUGCACAAGCCCCCAUCGAGGCUGGGCAUUGGGGCCCAGGGGCCAUGGAGCUGGCUGAUGAAGAAGCAGAUUGACUUGGCCCUUGGUACCUUGAGGAGGAAGAAAAGAACAAGGUUUAAAUGCGGACAAUUCAUUUCAGCUUUCCUGGGAGCAGCUGAAUAAUAGAUGAUGUGUAGGAUACUCACCACGAUCUGGCUUUCAUGACCCGGGAUGCGGUCGUCCGCUUUCUGUAAUGGCCAAAGUCACGUAUCAAGUCUUGGGUCCUUACAUCUGACCUCUGAAGGUCCAGGGGCACCAUGGUGGGUGGAGACAUGUCCAGCUCCAGAAGCAUAAUGUUUUCAGCCUGGGGCAACAAAAGAUUAAUACAAGAUUAUACACUACAGUUCAAAAGAUUGGGGUCAAGUUUUAUCAUUACUAUUUAAUAAGAAAUUCUUGUUAAAUAAAGAAAUGUUACAUUAUAUACUGGCAUUAUCACUUUUAUUAUGCCAGUAAACUGUUAUAGAUGCAAUUUUUUAUAAAAUUUUGGAUAAGUCUCUGGGGGUUGAAUAAUUUUGAUUGCAGCUGAAAAUGCAGCCUUGUUGAGCAAAAGAUUUAAACAAAAAGCUUAAAAAAAUUAAUAAAGUAAUAUGUUUUAUUCCAUAA
This is a long non-coding RNA of Carassius gibelio (silver crucian carp), 1181 nucleotides long. RefSeq lists it as uncharacterized. The transcript has 2 exons. The record is from RefSeq and is a predicted model, not a curated record. Lineage: Eukaryota; Metazoa; Chordata; Actinopteri; Cypriniformes; Cyprinidae.